GUUAAUGUAGCUUAAUAAUAAAGCAAAGCACUGAAAAUGCUUAGAUGGAUGACUAAUCCCAUGAACA
RNAcentral lists this transfer RNA (67 nucleotides) under Hybomys sp. n. VVB-2020. RNAcentral describes it as "tRNA-Phe". It matches the Rfam family "tRNA". From Rfam's summary of the family: Transfer RNA (tRNA) molecules are approximately 80 nucleotides in length. Their secondary structure includes four short double-helical elements and three loops (D, anti-codon, and T loops). Further hydrogen bonds mediate the characteristic L-shaped molecular structure. tRNAs have two regions of fundamental functional importance: the anti-codon, which is responsible for specific mRNA codon recognition, and the 3' end, to which the tRNAs corresponding amino acid is attached (by aminoacyl-tRNA synthetases). tRNAs cope with the degeneracy of the genetic code in two manners: having more than one tRNA (with a specific anti-codon) for a particular amino acid; and 'wobble' base-pairing, i.e. permitting non-standard base-pairing at the 3rd anti-codon position. Lineage: Eukaryota; Metazoa; Chordata; Mammalia; Rodentia; Muridae. The record is from RNAcentral.